Molecule: ribosomal RNA, 790 nt
Filed under: uncultured bacterium
Lineage: Bacteria
Description: bacterial SSU rRNA
Rfam family: Bacterial small subunit ribosomal RNA
Source: RNAcentral
AGAGUUUGAUCAUGGCUCAGAGCGAACGCUGGCGGCGUGCUUAACACAUGCAAGUCGAGUGCGCGUUUCCGUAGCAAUACGGAGAUGGCGCACGGCGCACGGGUGCGUAACACGUGGGUAAUCUGCCCUCUGAUGGGGAAUAACUCGCCGAAAGGCGAGCUAAUUCCGCAUAACAUUCCUUGGACUCCGGUUCGAGGAUUCAAAGGCGUAAGUCGUCGGAGGUGGAGCCCGCGCACGAUUCGCUAGUUGGUGAGGUAAUGGCUCACCAAGGCUAUGAUCGUUAGCUGGUCUGAGAGGAUGGCCAGCCACACUGGAACUGAGACACGGUCCAGACUCCUACGGGAGGCAGCAGUGGGGAAUCUUGCACAAUGGGCGAAAGCCUGAUGCAGCGACGCCGCGUGGGGGAUGAAGCUUCUCGGAGUGUAAACCCCUUUCGACCGGGACGAAUACCUCGCAAGAGGGGUGACGGUACCGGUAUAAGAAGCCCCGGCUAACUACGUGCCAGCAGCCGCGGUAAGACGUAGGGGGCCAGCGUUGCUCGGAAUUACUGGGUGUAAAGGGUUCGUAGGCGGUGUGGCAAGUCGGGAGUGAAAUCCCUGGGCUUAACCCAGGGGCUGCUUCUGAAACUGCCGUGCUAGAGUGUGGGAGAGGCGCGUGGAAUUGCAGGUGUAGCGGUGAAAUGCGUAGAUAUCUGCAGGAACACCCGUGGCGAAAGCGGCGCGCUGGACCACUACUGACGCUGAGGAACGAAAGCUAGGGGAGCAAACAGGAUUAGAUACCCUAGUAGUCC